Molecule: long non-coding RNA, 285 nt
Organism: Cydia pomonella (codling moth)
Lineage: Eukaryota; Metazoa; Arthropoda; Insecta; Lepidoptera; Tortricidae
Exons: 2
Source: RefSeq, a predicted model, not a curated record
AAGUAUUAUAUAUAUACAAAACAAGCCUUAUUCUUGACGACCGGUUUGGCCUAGUGGGUAGUGACCCUGCCUACGAAGCUGAUGGUCCCGGGUUCAAAUCCUGGUAAGGGCAUUUAUUCCAUGGAUAUUUGUUCCUGAGUCAUGGGUGUUUUCUAUGUAUUUAAGUAUUUAUAAAUAUGUAUAUAUUAUAUAUAUCGUUGUCUAAGUACCCUCAACACAAGCCUUAUUGAGCUUACUGUGGGACUUAGUCAAUUUGUGUAAUAAUGUCCUAUAAUAUUUAUUUAU